RNAcentral lists this ribosomal RNA (404 nucleotides) under uncultured bacterium. RNAcentral describes it as "bacterial SSU rRNA". It matches the Rfam family "Bacterial small subunit ribosomal RNA", at positions 355 to 775 of the family's 1533-position model. The record is from RNAcentral.
UAAGGAAUCUUCCGCAAUGGGCGCAAGCCUGACGGAGCGACGCCGCGUGCAUGACGACGCCCUUCGGGGUGUAAAAUGCUUUUCUCUGGGAUGACACCCGACAGUACCAGGGGAAUCAGCCUCGGCUAACUACGUGCCAGCAGCCGCGGUAAUACGUAGGAGGCGAGCGUUGUCCGGAAUCACUGGGCGUAAAGCGCGUGUAGGCGGGAGGGCAAGUCUGCUGUGAAAGCGCCCGGCUUAACCGGGCGAGGUCGGCGGAAACUGCCCACCUGGAGGGCGGUAGAGGGGGGUGGAAUUCCCGGUGUAGUGGUGAAAUGCGUAGAGAUCGGGAGGAACACCUGUGGCGAAGGCGGCCCCCUGGGCCGCACCUGACGCUGAGACGCGAAGGCGUGGGGAGCGAACGG